This is a long non-coding RNA of Aethalodelphis obliquidens (Pacific white-sided dolphin), 3473 nucleotides long. RefSeq lists it as uncharacterized. The transcript is spliced from 3 exons. NCBI's taxonomy places the organism in Eukaryota, Metazoa, Chordata, Mammalia, Artiodactyla, Delphinidae. The record is from RefSeq and is a predicted model, not a curated record.
AUUACACGUUGUUGCAUUUUUUUAAAUUAACAUCGAGUACCCAUUUUCACCAGUCAUUGGGUUGGGUGCUUGACAGUACCCUUGUCAUUUCUAAAUGUUGGUCUUAAAAUGAAUCCUUUGUCCUCUGCCUACUGAUGACACUUUCGUUAACAUAAGAGUCUCUCUUUGGAUAAGAAAAUAACAAGAUGAUACCUCGACCUUUUCCUGUCCUAGCUGCUUGGCACGUCACUUCUCAUCUUUGCUACAAAAGGCAUUGUCACCCUCUUUGAAUCCAUUUCUCUCAGAGGCUCACUUUGUUCUCUGAAUUGAAGUGUUGACUAUAGCCCAGAGGGUCUCAACCUGGCCACAUUGGAAUCUCCAAGUACUGGGGCCCAUUUCAGAUCCAUUCCAUCAGAUGGUGUCCGAGAAGUCUUUUUUAAAGGGUUCCCUAAGAGAUUCUAACAUGUGACAGGAUUGAAAAACCACUGAUCAAGUCCAAACCACAGACCAGCCUCUGAGAGUGGCUAAAAUUCUGGGAGCAGCAAAUCCUGUCUCCCUGGCAUAGAGCAGGCCUAGGGUCCAACUGAUGUUCUAUUUAACAGGUAAUUGGGAAAUACUUAGAGAAAAGGCCUUGUCGAUUUGGAUUUUGGACAACUGAGCAGCUUUGCUGUUUCCUUCUGUGCAAGAAACUCUAAGCUAAUGCUACUCUUACUGUUUUCUGGCAUUCUUGUCCAAACAGAAUUUGCUAGUGCUCAAACGAAAUAAACAUGUUAAUGAUUUCAACAACAGUGAUGGACGCAGAAGCAUUCCAACAGUUCCUUAGUAACAGCUUAAUGUAAUAGUGUCAUCAUUUCUAAAGUUAGAGGUAAUUAUUGUCACCUUGGCACAAUCAUUGGAACGAGCUUCUUACAUGAAAACUGCUCUUUUUCUAGGGCUUCGACUGGUAACAAAAUAAUAAUUUAUGAAAGCAAAUUCUGCCCCAUUAUUCUGGGAGAAGUCCGUCAGCCACCCUGCAAUCGAAGAAUCUAAGAGCGACAAGUUCAUUUGCAAGUCUAAGAAGUUGAAAAGGUCCCCGUGGAAGAGGUAAAGUAUCCCAGCUCUUUCAGGUAUGGAUUCAUUAAUUCUUUUAAAAUGGAAGAUGAUGUAUCAAAUAUUUUAGUUAUGUCUAAUCCCUCCAUCAGAACUCAGCUUUGAUGAAUAGAGUACAGUAACCUGGCAGAUUAAUUCCUUUCCCUGCCCCCCAAGAAAGAUAACAAAGGUAAGGAGAAUAAAAACUGCUUACAGGAGACAAGUCAACCCUACUCUGAACAUUCUCCUCAAGUUUCCCACAUGUGGUCAACUGCAGCUGACAUUCAACCAAUGUGGUGGGUUUUUUUCUAGAAUAUAAGUUGUGGCAGUACAGGGCCUAAUGUAAAGAUCAAUUUGCACCUGUUUAUGCUCUUAAUGAUAUUUCAGAUUUUACUGGUUCUUUAUUUUCAGGAUUUUACUUGACGGUUUCUUGAAGAGUUGGAUCACUGGGUGUACACUUGGUGCUAAUGAACUGUCCCUCUUUGCCUGAAAAGCAUCUCUGUAGGAGUCUUUUUAUCUAAUAGCCUCUGCUGAAUACCUGGAGAAGUUGCUUAAACAUUCAACUCCAAUAAGCUGUGAGGACUUCAAUACAAGAGGACUGUGUGUGUGUGUGUGUGUGUGUGUGUGUGUGUGUGUAAACAUUUUUGAUAGCAUACCUUUUAAUCCUAGGGGUUUGCUAACAAAGGCUCAUUCUCUUUGGAGCAAAUAUCAGAGUUCUUAAACGUGAGUUUUGUUAUGGCUUAGAACUGCUUUUCCCUUGAGAACAUUUCUGAGGUAUCAUGGAAAGUGAAGAAACCUGUAACUGUGACUCUAAAUACAGCCUGUCGAGAAUGUGUUUGAUCUGUAUGGCAAAAGCCAAGUACUGUGGUCUGUGAACGAUAGGAAUUCAAUUUUUAAAUGAAUUCCCUUGCUGCCUGCAGGCCUGGUUCUAUUUCUUCUAGAAUCUAGGCUGAUGUUAGAACUGUUGUCGGUUCAAAGAGCUAAACCCCUCCAGAUGGAGUUAAUAGAAGCUCGUAAAUUCGGCUAGGAGGGCCUGAGCACAAUGCUCAUGGAAGGCCGAGAACAUCAAUCUGCCUUAAUUGUUGACAUUUGGAAUCCUGAUUGAGCGCCUCCACCCCCAUCUAUCUGCUUCCAGCUGACCAAAGGAGCUUUUCCCCACAGAUGGAGAAGUGGUGGAAAUGGCCACGCCUCGAUGUUUAAGUCCAGGUGAAAAGUAUCCCACCAGGCAGCUAGAUAAGAAGGGUGGGUGGAGCCUGAGAGCCUGCUGGAGGCUGCGGGCGUGAGUGCGGCACUGGUGCUGUCGGCUGUGGAGGUCCCGGGCCGCGUCUCCAGCGUCCCAGUGAAGGGUAAGCACUUCCUCAUGGUGGCUCAGUGACAGCACCAUAGCUGGAGAAGCUUAGGGACAACGCAGCCUGCCUCAUAAAUUCAGAGACUGUUACAGUCAAAGGAGACCUCAGAAACAAUUGCCUUCAACCCCUUCGUUUUACAAAAGCAGACGCUGAGGUCUGAGAAGUGAAGUGGUUUGGCCGAGGUCAGAAAGCAAGUUGGCAGUGGAGCGUACAACUCGGGGUCCUGGCCGGGCUCCCUACGUGACCUCCCCUCCAGACUCUCACUCCCUCUGGAGAAAGCCAGCUGCUAUGUCGUGAAGACACUUGGGGCAGCCUUGUGGAAAGACCCACAUAGUGAAGAACUGAGGUAUCCAGUCGACAGUGACAUCAGAGUGUGGAAGAGGAUCCUCCAGCCUCCAGUGACUGCAGCUCCAGCUGACAUCCUGACGGCCAACUUCAUAACAAGACCCCAAGUCAUAACCAUCCGGCUAAGUUGCUUCCUGACCUUCAGAAACUAUGUGAGAUAAUGUUUGUUUUUAAGUCACUAAGUUUUGGGGUAAUGUGUUACACUCUAAUAAUGAGUACAGCCAUGAACACCAUGAUUUCUUCUUGCUUAGGAAGGAAGUCCUGAAUCUAGAUGACCUCACCUCAUGUGCCCUUUUGGCAACUGGCUUUGUCACAAAAGCCUUAAAAAGCCUUAAAGGGAGGGUUUUGAUAGACCCUAGUUUCUCCACAGUGCCACACGCUAGCCAAAGGAGAGUGAAGCAAAGUGACUGCAUCCCAUGGACAUUUCCAUCAUGAAGGAUCCAGUGCUGGCCUGGAUAAAGAGGCUUGGCCCCAGGGUCCAUCCUGGUACCUCCAAACUCCUAUGAGACCAUUGGAAAGGUUCAUAAUUUUUCUAGACCUUUGUUUCUUUAUAACACUGCUAUAAUACUACCCUCUUAUGUGAUUAAAAUGGGUAGAGUAGACAUAAAAGGACUAUGUAAAAAGGAGUUGAACCUACCAUACAACUUCUAGACAGUAACAUCACCACCACCCUCCUCUUAGAGAUGGACUGUAAGGUUUUGGGUUUUAUAUCCUCGUUCUUGAUUCCAAACA